RNAcentral lists this ribosomal RNA (119 nucleotides) under Pteropus alecto (black flying fox). RNAcentral also lists the same sequence under 1 other name. Lineage: Eukaryota; Metazoa; Chordata; Mammalia; Chiroptera; Pteropodidae. The record is from RNAcentral.
GUCUAUGGCCAUGCCACCCUGAACAAGCCUGAUCCCAUCUGAUCUCAGAAGCUAAGCGGGGUCAGGCCUGGUUAGUACUUGGAUGGGAGACCACCUAGGAAGACCAGGUGCCAUAGGCA